Molecule: long non-coding RNA, 276 nt
Filed under: Setaria viridis
Lineage: Eukaryota; Viridiplantae; Streptophyta; Magnoliopsida; Poales; Poaceae
Description: long non-coding RNA (SVIR_LNC005482)
Source: RNAcentral
UCGGGUGGAAGAGAGAAGAAAUAGGGAAUUUUGAGGUAGUUAGGGAUUUAUAAUGGCAUUGUACAGAUUUGUGAUGGGUGAGGGUUUUCAAGGGUUCUAUGCAAAUAUGCACCAACAAAACAGCGGCAAAACUCCCACCUUCCACAUCAAAGUGUCACGUCAACUACCAGGCACGGGUUUGUACCCAUUAAUACCUUCUAUGUUACAAUAAUAGUGUUUGGGGGAUAAAAAUGCAUUUCGAAAGUUGAUGGACCAGGAUGACACACUCGAAAAAGU